RNAcentral lists this ribosomal RNA (433 nucleotides) under uncultured bacterium. RNAcentral's name for it is "partial 16S ribosomal RNA". It matches the Rfam family "Bacterial small subunit ribosomal RNA", at positions 29 to 507 of the family's 1533-position model. The record is from RNAcentral.
AACGAACGCUGGCGGCAUGCCUAACACAUGCAAGUCGAACGAGACCUUCGGGUCUAGUGGCGCACGGGUGCGUAACGCGUGGGAACCUGCCCUUAGGUUCGGAAUAACUCCCCGAAAGGGGUGCUAAUACCGGAUAAUGUCUUCGGACCAAAGAUUUAUCGCCUUUGGAUGGGCCCGCGUUGGAUUAGCUAGUUGGUAGGGUAAAAGCCUACCAAGGCGACGAUCCAUAGCUGGUCUGAGAGGAGGAUCAGCCACACUGGGACUGAGACACGGCCCAGACUCAUACGGGAGGCAGCAGUGGGGAAUAUUGGACAAUGGGCGAAAGCCUGAUCCAGCAAUGCCGCGUGAGUGAUGAAGGCCUUAGGGUUGUAAAGCUCUUUUACCCGGGAUGAUAAUGACAGUACCGGGAGAAUAAGAUCCGGCUAACUCCGUG